GAUGAACGCUGGCGGCGUGCCUAAUACAUGCAAGUCGAACGCACAGCGAAAGGUGCUUGCACCUUUCAAGUGAGUGGCGAACGGGUGAGUAACACGUGGACAACCUGCCUCAAGGCUGGGGAUAACAUUUGGAAACAGAUGCUAAUACCGAAUAAAACUCAGUGUCGCAUGACACAAAGUUAAAAGGCGCUUUGGCGUCACCUAGAGAUGGAUCCGCGGUGCAUUAGUUAGUUGGUGGGGUAAAGGCCCACCAAGACAAUGAUGCAUAGCCGAGUUGAGAGACUGAUCGGCCACAUUGGGACUGAGACACGGCCCAAGCUCCUACGGGAGGCUGCAGUAGGGAAUCUUCCACAAUGGGCGAAAGCCUGAUGGAGCAACGCCGCGUGUGUGAUGAAGGCUUUCGGGUCGUAAAGCACUGUUGUAUGGGAAGAACAGCUAGAAUAGGGAAUGAUUUUAGUUUGACGGUACCAUACCAGAAAGGGACGGCUAAAUACGUGCCAGCCGCCGCAGUAA
Molecule: ribosomal RNA, 513 nt
Filed under: uncultured bacterium
Lineage: Bacteria
Description: partial 16S ribosomal RNA
Rfam family: Bacterial small subunit ribosomal RNA
Source: RNAcentral